AACGCACCUUGCGCCCUUUGGUAUUCCGAAGGGCAUGCCUGUUUGAGUGUCAUUAAAUUAUCAACCCAAAAGCUUUGUUAUGAAGCUCUUGUGGCUUGGACGUGGGGGUUUGCUGGCUUCCUUCAGUGGAUGGUCUGCUCCCCUUAAAUGCAUUAGCGGGAUCUCUUGUGGACCGUCACUUGGUGUGAUAAUUAUCUAUACCACUUUGACUUUGAAGCAAAACUUAUGGGAACCCGCUCAUAACCGUCUGCUUGUCGGACAAUUUUUGACAUUUUGACCUCAAAUCAGGUAGGACUACCCGCUGAACUUAA
This 311-nucleotide unclassified non-coding RNA is filed under the name uncultured fungus. RNAcentral's name for it is "partial contains 5.8S ribosomal RNA, internal transcribed spacer 2, and large subunit ribosomal RNA". The stretch from base 1 to 52 matches the Rfam family "5.8S ribosomal RNA", at positions 103 to 154 of the family's 154-position model. RNAcentral also lists the same sequence under 1 other name. The record is from RNAcentral. Lineage: Eukaryota; Fungi.